This 872-nucleotide long non-coding RNA is filed under the name Olea europaea subsp. europaea. The record is from RNAcentral. Lineage: Eukaryota; Viridiplantae; Streptophyta; Magnoliopsida; Lamiales; Oleaceae.
UGGAUUUUUGACCACAUUUUCUAUAGGGCCUUCUUAUCUCUUCUUUCUUCGAGCUCAGGUUAUAGAAAAAGAAACCUAGAAAAAGGCAUCAGCAACAACUGGUUUUAUUACGGAACAUCUCAUGAUGUUCAUAUCGAUCUAGACCUCAUACAAUAACUGUCAUAGCUCUACCAUACCUUUUGUUUUCAUUUCUUCGGAACAAUCACAAAUACUUUUUUGAUUAUGGAUCUACUACCAGAAAUUCAAUGCAUAAUUCCAGCAUUCAAUGUGUAUUCCUAAAAAUAAUUUCAUUUUUAAUUAUUUAACCAUUUCAUUUUACGAAGUUCAAUGUUAGCCAGAUUAGUCAACAUUUAUAUGUUUCGAAGCAACAACAAGAUGUCAUUUUUAACAAGUAGUUUUGUUUGUUGGUUAAUUGAGCACAAUUUAUUCAUGAAAAGUCUUGGAUUGGUAUUAGUCUGAAUACGGUAAAAUCAUUCUAUUAGAUCGAAUAAGUACAUUCGAUCUAAUAAGUAGCUUGUGUUAGAAUUGAGAAAUUCUAUGGCUCGGAUCUUUAGUAUUCUCUUAUUUCUUACCUGUAUCUUCCAUUUAGAUAGAAUACCAUCACCUAUUCUUACUAAGAAAUGGAAAAAAGCUCAAAAAUGGAAGAAAAUGUGGAAAGUGAGGAAGAAAUAGAUGUAGAAAUAGAAACAACUUAUGAAAUGAAGGGGACUAAACAGGAACAAGAGGGAUCCACCGAAGAAAAUCCUUCUCCUUCCUUUUUUCAAAAGAAAAUGAAAAUCUGAACAAAAUCGAUGAAACGGAAGAAAUCCAAGUGAAUGAAAAGAAAAAAAACACAAGAUGAACUCCACUUUCGAUUAACAGAGACAGGCUCU